Molecule: ribosomal RNA, 1802 nt
Filed under: Pinus taeda (loblolly pine)
Lineage: Eukaryota; Viridiplantae; Streptophyta; Pinopsida; Pinales; Pinaceae
Description: SSU rRNA
Rfam family: Eukaryotic small subunit ribosomal RNA
Source: RNAcentral
CCUAGUUGAUCCUGCCAGUAGUCAUAUGCUUGUCUCAAAGAUUAAGCCAUGCAUGUCUAAGUAUGAACUAAUUCAGACUGUGAAACUGUGGAUGGCUCAUUAAAUUAGUUAUAGUGUUUUUUAUGGUACCAUACUACUCAGAUAACCAUAGUAAUUCUAGAGCUAAUACGUGCACCAAGUCUUGACUCUUUGGAAGGGAUGCAUUUUUUAGAUAAAAGGUCGGCGAGGGCUUGCCCAUUUCUCCGAUGAAUCAUGAUAACUCGACGGAUUGCAGAGCCGUUUUGUUGGCAAUGCUUCAUUCAAAUUUCUACCCUUUCAACUUUUGAUGGUAGGAUAAAGGCCUACCAUGGUGGUGACAGGUGACGGAGAAUAAGGGUUCGAUUAUGGAGAGGGAGACUGAGAAAUGGCUACCACAUAAAAGGAAGGCAGCAGACGGGCAAAUUACCCAAUCCUGACAUGGGGAGGUAGUGACAAUAAAUAACAAUACUGGGCUCAUCGAGUCUGGUAAUGGAAUGAGUACAAUCUAAAUCCCUUAAUGAGGAUCCAUUGGAGGGAAAGUCUGGUGCCAACAACUGCGGUAAUUCCAGCUCCAAUAGCAUUUUUUUAAGUUGUUGCAGUUAAAAAGAUCGUAGUUGGAUCUUGGGUCAUAAAGGUCGGUCCGACUACUUAGUUUGCACCUACCCUUCCAUCCCUUUUUGUCGGCGGCGUGCUCCUAGCCUUAAUUUGCUAGGUCGUCGGUCUGGAACUUUUACUUUGAAAAAAUUAGAGUGCUCAAAGCAAGCUUAUUCUCUGAAUCCAUUAGCAUGGAAUAAUGUGAUAGGAGUCUGGUGCUAUUGUGUUCGCCUUUAGGAAUGGAGUAAUGAUUAAUAGGGCUGUCAGGGGCAUUCGUAUUUCAUUGUCAGAGGUGAAAUUCUUGGAUUUAUGAAAGACGAACCACUACGAAAGCAUUUUCCAAGGAUGUUUUCGUUAAUCAAGAACGAAAGUUGGGUGCUCGAAGACGAUCAGAUACCAUCCUAGUCUCAACUAUAAACGAUGCCGACCACAAAUCGACAGAUGUUGCUCUAAGGACUCUGCCAACACCUUCUAAGAAAUCAGAGUGUUUGAGUUCUGGGGGGAGUAAGGUCACAAGGCUGAAACAUAAAGGAAUUGACAGAAGGGCACCACCAGGAGUGGAGCCUGCGAAUUAAUUUGACUCAACACGGGGAAACUUACUAGGUCUAGACAUAGUAAGGAUUGACAUAUUGAGAACUCUUUCUUAAUUCUAUGGGUGGUGGUGCAUGGCCGUUCUUAUUUGGUGGAGCGAUUUGUCUGGUUAAUUCUAAUAAUGAACGAGACCUCAGCCUACUAACUAGCUACGCGGAGGUUCCCCUUCACGGCUAGCUUCUUAGAGGGACUAUGGCCAUUUAGGCCAUGGAACUUUGAGGCCAUAAUAGGUCUGUGAUGCCCGUAGAUGUUCUGGGCCACACGCGCGCUACACUUAUGCAGCCAACGAGUUAUUCUUCUUGGUUCGAGAGGAUUACGAAAUCUUCUCAAAUUGCAUCGUAACGGGGAUAGACCAUUGCAAUUAUUGGUCUUCAACGAGGAAUUCCUAGUAAGCGCGUGUCAUCAACUCAUGUUGACUACGUCUCUACCCUUUGUACACACCGCCCAUCGCUCCUACCAAUUGAAUGAUCUAGCGAAGUGUUCAGAUUGUGUCGAUGAUGGUGGUUCACCGCCGUUGACAUCGUAAGAACUUCAUUGAACCUUAUCAUUUAGAUGAAGGAGAAUUCAUAACAAGGUUACUGUAGGUGAACCUGCGGUAG